Molecule: ribosomal RNA, 427 nt
Filed under: uncultured microorganism
Description: bacterial SSU rRNA
Rfam family: Bacterial small subunit ribosomal RNA
Source: RNAcentral
GAGUUUGAUCAUGGCUCAGGAUGAACGCUGGCGGCGUGCCUAAUACAUGCAAGUCGAGCGAACAGACGGGGAGCUUGCUCCCCUGACGUUAGCGGCGGACGGGUGAGUAACACGUGGGUAACCUACCUAUAAGACUGGAAUAACUCCGGGAAACCGGGGCUAAUGCCGGAUAACAUGUUGGACCGCAUGGCCCUACAGUGAAAGACGGUCUUGCUGUCACUUAUAGGUGGACCCGCGCCGUAUUAGCUAGUUGGUAAGGUAACGGCUUACCAAGGCAACGAUACGUAGCCGACCUGAGAGGGUGAUCGGCCACACUGGAACUGAGACACGGUCCAGACUCCUACGGGAGGCAGCAGUAGGGAAUCUUCCGCAAUGGGCGAAAGCCUGACGGAGCAACGCCGCGUGAGUGAUGAAGGCCUGGUCGUAG